Triticum aestivum (bread wheat) is the source of this 121-nucleotide non-coding RNA. NCBI's taxonomy places the organism in Eukaryota, Viridiplantae, Streptophyta, Magnoliopsida, Poales, Poaceae. The record is from Rfam.
GAACUACCCCCUCUAUCCCAAAUUUCAUGUCUUAGAUUUGUCUAGAUACGGAUGUAUCUACUUGAUACAUCUGUAUCUAGACAAAUCUAAGACAAGAAUUUUGGGACGGAGGGAGUACUUU